Molecule: small nucleolar RNA, 144 nt
Organism: Cavia porcellus (domestic guinea pig)
Lineage: Eukaryota; Metazoa; Chordata; Mammalia; Rodentia; Caviidae
Source: Ensembl
CUGCAAAGCCAGUUUCUUCCUCACUUUUACUUUUUAAAAUAAACUUUGCAGCUAAGGGAACCAGGUUUGCUAAAGUAAUUGUGGUGAUAGGACUGUAUUAGCCUCAGAAGCUACUGGGGUAGUUCAUUCUAUCCUCAUAUAGUA